UACGUAGGGGGCAAGCGUUGUCCGGAUUUAUUGGGCGUAAAGAGCGUGUAGGCGGCUAGGUAGGUCCGUUGUGAAAACUCGAGGCUCAACCUCGAGACGCCGAUGGAAACCAUCUGGCUAGAGUCCGGAAGAGGAGAGUGGAAUUCCUGGUGUAGCGGUGAAAUGCGCAGAUAUCAGGAAGAACACCCGUGGCUAAGGCGGCUCUCUAGUACGGUACUGACGCUGAGACGCGGAAGCGUGGGGAGCGAACAGG
This 253-nucleotide ribosomal RNA is filed under the name uncultured bacterium. Its description in RNAcentral is "partial 16S ribosomal RNA". It matches the Rfam family "Bacterial small subunit ribosomal RNA", at positions 524 to 776 of the family's 1533-position model. The record is from RNAcentral.